RNAcentral lists this ribosomal RNA (253 nucleotides) under uncultured bacterium. RNAcentral describes it as "partial 16S ribosomal RNA". It matches the Rfam family "Bacterial small subunit ribosomal RNA", at positions 524 to 776 of the family's 1533-position model. The record is from RNAcentral.
GACGGACCGUGCAAACGUUGUUCGGAAUCACUGGGCUUAAAGGGCGCGUAGGCGGGCUUCAAAGUCGGUGGUGAAAUCUUUCGGCUCAACCGGAAAACAGCCGCCGAUACUGGGGGUCUCGAGGGAGGUAGGGGUCGAUGGAACUUCAGGUGGAGCGGUGAAGUGCGUAGAUAUCUGAAGGAACGCCGGUGGCGAAAGCGAUCGACUGGACCUCUUCUGACGCUGAGGCGCGAAAGCCAGGGGAGCAAACGGG